AACCUUGAACACUAGCUUUUGUAGAUAUUUCCUAUUAACCAUACACGUGUGAAGCCUUGGAGAUAUAGUAGCAUUGGAUAGUUAAAACUGGAAGUUCAACACACCACUUGCUUCAUAAAUAACAGAGGAAGCAGAGAUCGUGAGGAAGCAGAGAUCAUAAAUAACAGAGGAAGCAGAGCAGAAACAGAGUAAAAAGAAAAUUGGGCGAGUCCUCCGGCAGUUCUCACUUUCAAAUUUACAGUAGUUCUACAGCAGUUUUUUUAGCAGUUCUCACUUUCAAAUUUCUAAAUACAAGUUCAAAUCUUAGCUGUACAGGUUCCAGGGAUGAAGGAGAUCAAAAUUUCAAAGGCCAAUUUGAUGUAAGCCGUGGCUUUUGUGAUGGGUGGAAUUCAAGAAGCCUGCAAUGAUAUUUAAAUAUACAUAAUACCAAGUUUUGUAUUUUUAUAUUCCCAGUAUGUGAUAUAUUGUUUUAACCAAUCCAGUUGAUUGUAUUAGUUGCAGUGGAGGUUGGCUAUUAUGGUCAAAUCAAAACCAAAGGCAAGUUAGCUGGACCUACCAAUUUGAGCAUUGGCCACAUCCUUAAUGAUGUUAGACUACUUGGUAGUUACUACUUGGUAGUUGGUUCUUCUAUUAGGAAUAUAUUUUUCUCUUGUGGCUCCUUGAACAAACGGACCAACAGAGAAGAUAGCAUUUGAAGCAAAGAACUAGCUGGGUUUGCUAGACAAUGAUGUAUUGGAUGGAGGAGUAUCCCCCAUGUAUUAAGACUCUACUAAACAGUAAUGUACCUGCUCAUUGAAAAAAAAAAAAAAAAAA
This is a long non-coding RNA of Quercus lobata, 813 nucleotides long. RefSeq lists it as uncharacterized. The record is from RefSeq and is a predicted model, not a curated record. NCBI's taxonomy places the organism in Eukaryota, Viridiplantae, Streptophyta, Magnoliopsida, Fagales, Fagaceae. The transcript has 2 exons.